AAAUGUGGCCGUAUCUGCUUGUUAAUGCCUGAUCUCCUCAGAUCUUGGAAGCUAAGCAAGGCCAGGCCUUAUUAGUACUUGGAUAGGAGACCACUGGGAAAACGAGGUGCCACUGUGG
RNAcentral lists this ribosomal RNA (118 nucleotides) under Periophthalmus magnuspinnatus. The record is from RNAcentral. Lineage: Eukaryota; Metazoa; Chordata; Actinopteri; Gobiiformes; Gobiidae.